RNAcentral lists this unclassified non-coding RNA (323 nucleotides) under soil metagenome. RNAcentral describes it as "partial contains 5.8S ribosomal RNA, internal transcribed spacer 2, and large subunit ribosomal RNA". The stretch from base 1 to 120 matches the Rfam family "5.8S ribosomal RNA", at positions 35 to 154 of the family's 154-position model. The record is from RNAcentral.
GAUGAAGAACGUAGCGAAAUGCGAUAAGUAAUGCGAAUUGCAGAAUUCAGUGAGUCAUCGAAUCUUUGAACGCACAUUGCGCCCUGUGGUAUUCCGCAGGGCAUGCCUGUUCGAGCGUCAUUUCAACCCUCAAGCUCUGCUUGGUGUUGGGCCCUGCCCGCUGCGGCCGGCCCUAAAGACAGUGGCGGUGCCGCCUGGCCCUGAGCGUAGUACAUCUCUCGCUCCGGUGCCCGGUGGUAGCCUGCCAGAACCCCAACUCUCGUGGUUGACCUCGGAUCAGGUAGGGAUACCCGCUGAACUUAAGCAUAUCAAUAAGCGGAGGA